This 223-nucleotide ribosomal RNA is filed under the name uncultured bacterium. RNAcentral's name for it is "partial 16S ribosomal RNA". It matches the Rfam family "Bacterial small subunit ribosomal RNA", at positions 103 to 334 of the family's 1533-position model. The record is from RNAcentral.
CGGGUAGAGUAACACGUGGGAAUCUACCCUUUAGUGGGGAAUAACUACUCGAAAGAGUAGCUAAUACCGCAUAUGGUCGAAAGACUAAAGGCUUCGCAAGGAGUCGCUAAAGGAUGAGCCUGCGGCUGAUUAGCUAGUUGGUGGGGUAAAGGCUUACCAAGGCGUUGAUCAGUAGCUGGUCUGAGAGGAUGGUCAGCCACACUGGGACUGCGACACGGCCCAG